AUGGCACGCAGCUGUGCUGUCUGCCUACAAGGACCUGGCCUGGAGGUGCCCUGCUGCCGAGCAGACCUGUCUUUUGGAAGGUGUGGAGGUUGGCAGCAUGUUGGUUUCCUUUGCAAGAGAUGGGUGAGCUAUAAUUUCAGGGUGUGUUUCAGGGAGUCUUCAGUGUUAGACCUGGCGUAUCCUGGUGGCUGCGAGGCCGAGGGAGGGUGCCAGGGCCCUGAGGUGGGGUGCGAGGCAUUUAACCCGCUGUACUGGUUGUUUUUUGCUUCCAAUCCGAACUGCUGGAAGGUAAUUGAAUUCACAUGGAUUUUGGCCUCAUGUCCUAUAGGAAACCACAAGUACAAGGUGCUGAAAAAUCCCCUGUAA
This 366-nucleotide long non-coding RNA is filed under the name Anser cygnoides (Swan goose). Its description in RNAcentral is "lncRNA (ENSACDG00005003604.1)". The record is from RNAcentral. Lineage: Eukaryota; Metazoa; Chordata; Aves; Anseriformes; Anatidae.